ACGCAAGUCAUUGAGCGAUUAAAACUCAAAGGCGAAAUGAAAGUAAAGAGUUAAACUUGAUUGUUUUUCUCAAGGGAAGAUGAAUAUGGAUAUUAAGUUUAUUUUAAUAGAAAUAUUCCGCAUUCCCAGGGCGUUUGAUACUCAUUGAGUAUGUGCGCACCUAGAGCGUACACGAUGAUACCCGAAAGAUGGUGAACUAUGCCUGGCCAGGACGAAGCCAGGGGAAACCCUGGUGGAGGUCCGCAGCGAUUCUGACGUGCAAAUCGAUCGUCAGAGCUGGGUAUAGGGGCGAAAGACCAAUCGAACCAUCUAGUAGCUGGUUCCCUCUGAAGUUUCCCUCAGGAUAGCUUGCGCUCAUCCGAGUCUCAUUCGGUAGAGCGAAUGAUUAGAGGCAUUGGGGUCGAAACGACCUCAACCUAUUCUCAAACUCCAAAUAAAUGAGAGCCCCGGCUUUCUUAAAAUUGAAGCCGUGGGAAUAGGAUCUGAGUGCAAAGUG
RNAcentral lists this ribosomal RNA (496 nucleotides) under Xenocaucus rubeho. RNAcentral's name for it is "eukaryotic LSU rRNA". It matches the Rfam family "Eukaryotic large subunit ribosomal RNA", at positions 684 to 1128 of the family's 3401-position model. Lineage: Eukaryota; Metazoa; Arthropoda; Insecta; Hemiptera; Reduviidae. The record is from RNAcentral.